Molecule: ribosomal RNA, 515 nt
Filed under: uncultured bacterium
Lineage: Bacteria
Description: bacterial SSU rRNA
Rfam family: Bacterial small subunit ribosomal RNA
Source: RNAcentral
AGGGUUUGAUCAUGGCUCAGAUUGAACGCUGGCGGUAGGCUUAACACAUGCAAGUCGUGCGAGAAAAUAUCUUCGGAUAUGAGUAGAGCGGCGGACGGGUGAGUAACGCGUAGGAAUCUACCUAGUAGAAGGGGAUAGCCCGGGGAAACUCGGAUUAAUACCGUAUACCUCCUUUGGGAGAAAGAAGGCCUCUCUUUGAAGCUUUCGCUAUUAGAUGAGCCUGCGUAAGAUUAGCUUGUUGGUGAGGUAAAGGCUCACCAAGGCGACGAUCUUUAGCGGGUCUGAGAGGACGAUCCGCCACAUUGGGACUGAGACACGGCCCAGACUCCUACGGGAGGCAGCAGUGGGGAAUAUUGGACAAUGGGCGCAAGCCUGAUCCAGCCAUACCGCGUGAGUGAAGAAGGCCCUUGGGUUGUAAAGCUCUUUCGUCGGGGAAGAAAAUGACUGUACCCGAAUAAGAAGGUCCGGCUAACUUCGUGCCAGCAGCCGCGGUAAUUCAAUCGAAUUCCCGCGGC